GACGAACGCUGGCGGCGUGCUUAACACAUGCAAGUCGAACGGAAAGGCCCUGCUUUUGUGGCGUGCUCGAGUGGCGAACGGGUGAGUAACACGUGAGUAACCUGCCCUUGACUUUGUGAUAACUUCAGGAAACUGGGGCUAAUACCGGAUAGGAGCUCCUGCUGCAUGGUGGGGGUUGGAAAGUUUCGGCGGUUGGGGAUGGACUCGCGGCUUAUCAGCUUGUUGGUGGGGUAGUGGCUUACCAAGGCUUUGACGGGUAGCCGGCCUGAGAGGGUGACCGGGGACAUGGGGACUGAGAGACGGCGCAGACGCGAACGGGAGGCAGUAGUGGAGAACAUUGCAGAAUAGGGGGAAGUCUGAUGCAGCAACGCCGCGUGCGUGAUGACGGGCUUCUGGUGGUAAACCGCUUUCGCCGGUGACGAAGCGUUAGUGACGGUAAUGGGUAAAGAAGCACCGGCUAACUACGUG
RNAcentral lists this ribosomal RNA (468 nucleotides) under uncultured bacterium. Its description in RNAcentral is "partial 16S ribosomal RNA". It matches the Rfam family "Bacterial small subunit ribosomal RNA", at positions 28 to 507 of the family's 1533-position model. The record is from RNAcentral.